RNAcentral lists this ribosomal RNA (1537 nucleotides) under Lactobacillus crispatus. Its description in RNAcentral is "bacterial SSU rRNA". It matches the Rfam family "Bacterial small subunit ribosomal RNA". Lineage: Bacteria; Bacillati; Bacillota; Bacilli; Lactobacillales; Lactobacillaceae. The record is from RNAcentral.
UGCGAUUGUGCGGCCGAUGUAGGACGUUGGUUUAGACUUUGAUCCAGAGCUGAUGUAGUCUUGGAUGACGUUCGGAAAGCGAGCGGCGGAUGGGUGAGUAACACGUGGGGAACCUGCCCCAUAGUCUGGGAUACCACUUGGAAACAGGUGCUAAUACCGGAUAAGAAAGCAGAUCGCAUGAUCAGCUUUUAAAAGGCGGCGUAAGCUGUCGCUAUGGGAUGGCCCCGCGGUGCAUUAGCUAGUUGGUAAGGUAAAGGCUUACCAAGGCGAUGAUGCAUAGCCGAGUUGAGAGACUGAUCGGCCACAUUGGGACUGAGACACGGCCCAAACUCCUACGGGAGGCAGCAGUAGGGAAUCUUCCACAAUGGACGCUAGUUCUUGAAUUGGAAGGCAAACGGCCGGGCGGUGGAGGUGAAGAAGGUUUUUCGGGAUUCGUAAAGCUCCUGUUGUUGGGUGAAGAAGGAUAGAGGUAGUAAACUGGGCCUUUAUUUGGACGGUAAUCAAACCAGAAAAGUCACGGCUAACUACGUGCCCAGCAGCCGCGGGUAAUACGUAGGGUGGCAAGCGUUGUCCGGAUUUAUUGGGCGUAAAGCGAGCGCAGGCGGAAGAAUAAGUCUGAUGUGAAAGCCCUCGGCUUAACCGAGGAACUGCAUCGGAAACUGUUUUUCUUGAGUGCAGAAGAGGAGAGUGGAACUCCAUGUGUAGCGGUGGAAUGCGUAGAUAUAUGGAAGAACACCAGUGGCGAAGGCGGCUCUCUGGUCUGCAACUGACGCUGAGGCUCGAAAGCAUGGGUAGCGAACAGGAUUAGAUACCCUGGUAGUCCAUGCCGUAAACGAUGAGUGCUAAGUGUUGGGAGGUUUCCGUCUCUCAGUGCUGCAGCUAACGCAUUAAGCACUCCGCCUGGGGAGUACGACCGCAAGGUUGAAACUCAAAGGAAUUGACGGGGGCCCGCACAAGCGGUGGAGCAUGUGGUUUAAUUCGAAGCAACGCGAAGAACCUUACCAGGUCUUGACAUCUAGUGCCAUUUGUAGAGAUACAAAGUUCCCUUCGGGGACGCUAAGACAGGUGGUGCAUGGCUGUCGUCAGCUCGUGUCGUGAGAUGUUGGGUUAAGUCCCGCAACGAGCGCAACCCUUGUUAUUAGUUGCCAGCAUUAAGUUGGGCACUCUAAUGAGACUGCCGGUGACAAACCGGAGGAAGGUGGGGAUGACGUCAAGUCAUCAUGCCCCUUAUGACCUGGGCUACACACGUGCUACAAUGGGCAGUACAACGAGAAGCGAGCCUGCGAAGGCAAGCGAAUCUCUGAAAGCUGUUCUCAGUUCGGACUGCAGUCUGCAACUCGACUGCACGAAGCUGGAAUCGCUAGUAAUCGCGGAUCAGCACGCCCGCGGUGAAUACGUUCCCGGGCCUUGUACGCGCCGCCCGUCACCCCUAUGGGUCAGUCGUGACAAUGCCCGUGACAAUGUGCCGGAAUGCGCCUAGCCUUCGUGAAGUUUUGCCGUCUAUGCAGGGCAGAUGACUGGGGUGAAGUCGUAACAA